AUGGAACUGAGAUCUCCCGAAAGCAUUGUUGAGGUCGAUACUGAACUAACGGAUGGUAAGGUUUACUUCCACAGAUUCUUUAUGGCACUUAAGCCUUGUGUAGACGGAUUCCAUGCAGGAUGUAGGCCUUAUCUGAGCAUAGACUCAACUACAUUAAAUGGAAAGUGGAAUGGUCAUUUAGCUGCAUGUACCGCUUUAGAUGGUCAUAAUUGGAUGUUUCCUCUUGCAUUUUGUUUUAUUGAGGUUGAAGAUGAAGAUAAUUGGACAUGGUUCAUGACACACUUGCAUAGAGCAUUAGGACCAAUUUCAAAGCUUGCUAUAUGUACCGAUGCAUGCAAAGGCUUAGAAAAUGCAGUUAAGAAAGUUUUCCCUCAGGGAGAACAAAGGGAGUGUUUCAGGCAUUUGAUGCAGAAUUUUUCA
This 420-nucleotide ribosomal RNA is filed under the name Triticum aestivum (bread wheat). RNAcentral describes it as "partial small subunit ribosomal RNA". The record is from RNAcentral. Lineage: Eukaryota; Viridiplantae; Streptophyta; Magnoliopsida; Poales; Poaceae.